GCGCACGCGUCCGAGAGGGCUCCGGGGCGGGGCGAGCCGCUGCCCCGGCGAGGAUCGGGGUGAUCUGCUGGAGCUCCGGCCGCAGCCUUGAUUCCCGGCCUGCAGAACGGCCCUGGAGAGAAGCGGGGAGGCGGUGGUGGGGGCGGGGCGGCGUCCGGCUCUGAGAGAGCUGGGGGGAGGAGCGCGGCGGCGACGGCGGCGGCGGCGGCCGCGGCGGCGGCUCUAGAGGGAGAGGUGAAGGAGGCGGAGGAUCUCUUUUCCUCUUCUCAGACCCGGGAGCGUCUGGGACGCGGAGCCCGGAGCUGGGGCGACAAGGCGAUUGCGGGGGCCCGGGCUAGAUUAAGAGAUCACAACGAUGCAGCAGAGUCUCUGAUUGAGCAAACCACAACU
This 390-nucleotide long non-coding RNA is filed under the name Piliocolobus tephrosceles (Ugandan red Colobus). Its description in RNAcentral is "lncRNA (ENSPTEG00000007694.1)". The record is from RNAcentral. Lineage: Eukaryota; Metazoa; Chordata; Mammalia; Primates; Cercopithecidae.